GGGAGAGUUGGGGUUUGUUGGCUGUGGUGCUGUGGGUCAGGUAGUUGUGCUAGGGAGAGGAAGAAGCCAGCCAGCUGUGCUGAAGGAAGAGAAGAGGAGUCAGUGCUGCGAGAAGCUGCCCCUGGAAACUCACAGAGAAAAGAUGACAGAAAAGAUAUUUAGCCAGUGGGACCAGAAUUUGACCUACAACAAUCAGGUCAGUUGCUGUUAGCAUAAGAAUUUAAUUUUCUUUUAUUCAGUUUUAUAAUGUUCAUAUACAGACUCAUAUAUUUAAUUUUAAUUAAGCAAAUGUUGACAGUUUUUGUUAUGAAUUUUAAUUUCUGUAAGCCCGGUGUAAAUAGGAUUCCUAAAUCUGAAUGACAUAGUUCUUGGAUGAGAUGUCUAUAAUCCUUUUACCUUGGAAUAUAUUAACAUUGGUUUGAUUAUAAUGUAUGACUACAUAUCAUUAUGAGACAUCUCUGCUUCACAGGCACAAUUAUUUGGCUUUCUGUUCAUGUGUAUCAUGUAAUACUGGUAAUUAUUUUUCAGUCCCUUUUUCCUCAUUGCAACACACUCUUUUUACUCCAUAUUUUAAUAUGUCAAUGCAGUGUGAUUUCUUUAGUGUGAGGUGAUUCAAAGGAAACUGAAUAAGUUCUAAAUAUAUUCACAUGAAAUACAUAUGAUCUUUUCUUAGAUUUAUAUGGCUGCUACUCAUACCAGACACAUCUAGAAAUCACUGACUAGUACUUUGUUACUCAAUCAUUUAGUUAUCCAUUCUGGACUUAAGGAUAGCUGCCUUUGAUGUAUCUACUCCAUCUAUGGGUAGAACUGGAAGAUUUUGAUCUAGUUCACUUCCAGCAAUUUUGAUAUGCCCUAAUAUUUAGGAUCAAGCUUGUGGAUGCCCUCAACUAACUGCCCUUUCUUAUUCUGGCUACCUUUUGCAGCUCUUCCUUAAUGUAAUUACUUCAUCUAUUUAGGCAAAGUCAUGUGUUUUGUAUUAUGGCAUCUGCAGAUGUCUUUCCUUUGGGAAUGUAACAGUAUCCUUCUCCAUCAUUCUCCUUAGCUUCGGAGAGACACCUGCAGCUCUAACUCUCACAGGGUAUGAGGGCAAAUGGAAUAAAAAAUAUCUCUGCCCCACCUUCCUCACAGAGGCAGAAGUUAUAAAUACACCUCUUAUUUCUUUUCUAAAGCCUCUGAGGUGGACCAAGAGCAAGUCUCAUACAACAGAAGGCAAAACUGGUCUGUAUUCUGACUUUUCACCUUCAUUACUUCUUUACACUUCUUUUGGAAUAAAGAGUGGAUGUUGGUCUGUUACUUCCCUUCCUCUGCCUUUGUGGAGCAGCUACCUGUCCUCCUCUAGAACUCUUUGGAGACUUGGCUGUGUGAGUUUGUUGCAGCUUCUUCGCCCUUUGCAGAGCAAUGAUACUGAGAAAAGGCGGCAGGCAUCACAGGGGACACAAAAUCCAAGAGGAUGCCAAGUUCCCACAAACCAGGUGGCAGGCAGUUUGUAACUAUUCUAGGUGGCAGGAGAGGCACCAAGAUGUCACCCAGUAUGACUGGUGCAGACCCCAGAAAGCCACUUGUGAUUAUUAGCACAAUAACAACACUGAAAAUUGGACUACCUGUUAAGUGCUGUACACUCAGCUAAGAAGGGAGAAGAAAGACUUAGGCACCUUAUUUUAGAAAUGUAAUUAUCACUUACAGGUUAGUUAAGUACUGCAUGUUUAGAAUUGGAAAAUAUAUGUUUGAUAAUACUGUAUAUCUACAGAUAUAUAUUUAAGUCCUUCAACAUGAAAAUUCUAAAUACUUGCAAAAAAAUAUUAGUAAUUCAUUCAAAACAACAAAGCAGAGCUAAGGCUGCAGGGCAGGAGUUUGCAAGCAAGAUGUUGAGCACUGUGUGUGGCCUUAUACCAACCACUGGGGGAUCAAUCCCACGUGUGACAGGCUGCCAGCCUAAGUAAGAAACAUUGAUCACUGCUCUCCAAGUGCUCUGGGAGCCAGUUUCCUACCCAGCUGGCAGACCACCCAUCCAGUCUGUUUCUUGCCAGUUUGCCCAGGAGGAACUGUGCGAAUGAAGUGGUAUAAGAGGCUGACCUCACUCUUCUUUCAGUAAAAAGUGAAAAAGUAAUGCCAGGGUCUCUGGCAAUCAUGCUGUGCAUGCAGCAUGAAGGAAGAAAGACUGUGUGGGGGUUUCCCUUGGGGCAGUGGGUGCAACUACUGACAAAUGCAGUAGUGUUCAUAUAAUUUACAUAUGAUUCCUUGUAUUGUGCUGUUCUUAUGUUCAUUUUUGUGUGACAUCUUGGCCAUGGAGUUUUCUUUGCACAAACAUUCAUGGAAAGUUCAAGUUAACCAUGCAAAUAAGUAGUGUUUUAUAAGCCUUUAUUCUAAAUUUGCACUUAAAUGGAUGAUUAAAUUGGUAUCCAGUUAAGAAACAGAAAAACCCUAAGUGGCUUAUGCAAUUAAUUGCUUGGAAAAAAUUAUUCAAAUUUUCAAUGUUUGAGAUCAAUAAAGUUAAAAUAUCCACAAAGCAACUUGAAAUAAUUUCUAUAUUUGAGAAAAUUAAUAUUAUUUGUGUACAUUUUGUAAUGUAAGAGGACUACUUAAUUUUCUCUUCUGUUUUUUUUAAAGAGAGGGUAUAUCAUUAAAUGCCAUAUAAAAUAAUAAACUCCAAGCUUUAUUUUUUCUUUUGCUGCAAAGAGCUGUGUGCAGUAUUCUCUUAAUAUGCUUAUGGUGCAGACUAGUGAGCUUUUAGUCUUUUGUUUAAGAACUCAAUUUUACAGCUUUGGAGUGUAUCAGAGUUUAUCUGACCUUCAUUGUAUAAGAAAUAGUAAGAAUGUAUAUCUUAGAUUUCCCAAGUGAUACAGAUUCAUUUUCAUGAGUUCUACAAACUAUAUAUCCCUAAACAACAAUAAAUAAUUUUUCCUAUCAAAUGCAUGCUUACAGGCACUCGGUUGCUGAUGAAGUUGCAAUUAGGAAUCUGACAGAUGAGGGACUAAUUCCCUAGAAACAGGAUUUCUUCCUUCUUGUCAUGAGCAUAGCAUAUGGAGGAAACAGAUCUGAAUAUGCCAGAUGAAUAAAUUAAGGAGUCUAGGAUGAAAUAGAACAGCUGGAAAUGUAACUGGUGAUAACUAAAGGCUAAUUAGCUUCAAUGAGCAAUUUUCCACCUGGUUUUCUAUUAGUCAUAUAGAAAGAGGAGCUAGAGAAAUUGCAUGGUGUGCAUUUUCAUUCUGAAAUUCGAUAUGAACUGCUGUUCUACCUACAUGGUAAUUGGAAAAUUACUGUCUCUUGUGAGUAUAAAUAUUAAUGUGACUGAUUUGCAAAAAUCCUUUCAUUUUUUUCUAAGCAUCGACUUGGUUUUAUACAUUCAUCAUCUUACUGGAGCUGUGAGUUGUUCUUAAUUUAAUAGAUAUUUAAAAUGAGGAGUCUACUUCUAAGAAUAUUUUUGAAUACUAAAGCUCUUUCUCUGAUGCUCUUCAUCAAUUCUGGUAUAGCCUGCUAUAGCACUUCCCAAUCAGCAGUUUCAGAUCUUGUCCAUAAUCCCUGCAGCUUUUGACUAUUGCUUAGAACAUCAUAUGCAAUGAAUAAUGAGGUGUUUCUUUCCUGAAACAAGUAAUUUAAAGAGUAGGAAAGGGAUACUAGGUACCCCACACAAAGCUUUUCACCUUAUUAUACAUAUCCCUAUUUAUUACAUAAAAUAAAAGAUAUUUCUUUUUAUACAUAUUUCUUUCCUUCAGUAUUUAAGAUCCUCUGGUCCUUCAGUUUGUCAUCACAUAAGAGACUGGGUUCUGAAGCCUUCAUUUUAAAGAGGACUGAGGCUAUGAAAGUUUGAGAUGAAACAUCCUCAUAUUACAUUCCAAAGUAAAAGUCAGGUGAUGGAGUAAAAGUCAGGUGAUGGACAUAAGGAAUGAAUGUCAUCUUUCCGAACUUUAGCUGCUCAGAAGGGAGCUGCUGUACUUACAGUGGAAAAAAAAAAGGACUAGUUCCAUUCUUGAGUUUUUCUUUUUAAAUGCUUCAGAUGCCUGUCUUGUUGAUAAAGAUGGUUAGCUGUGGUUAACCAUGUAAGUGUGGAAGUUGAGCAAACUAAGUAAUACAAAUGGAAGGUGUGAUGAUUCACCUUCUGUCUGUUUUUCUCCAUUAACUAUCAGAGGCAUUACUGGAAGGGUGGUCAGUCACUGGAACAGGCUCUCCAGGGGAAUGGCAUGGCACCAAUCCUGUCAGGGUCCCAGGAGUGGCUGGAUGACACCCUUAGUGAUAGGAGUUCGUUUCAGGCAGUCCUGCAAGGAGCAGGGCAUUGGACUUGAUGGUCUUUAUGGGUCCUUUUCAACCUGAGCUAUUUUAUGAUUCAAGGAUUCUAUGGCUCUACAUGACUAACUUGGGUUUAGGCAGUAAUGUUUAGAAGUCCAAAGUCAGGUUGGGUGAAUCCCACCAUGUGUUGUCUAGGGAUAUUUUUCCAUUUUGAGAAGAGGGAGCAGAGACAUUAAGCUGAGGUAUUGCUUUCCAGUCUUGCAUUAGAUGCUUUUGGCUUGAAUGGAAUACUGAAGUUUUAGUGCUAACUGAAGUGGAGUCUUCAGUUUUUACAAAAUCAGUAUGUUCCUAAGCAUUGUCUUGUUCCUGGGAAUGUAGAAAGUCCAUUUGCUGAGAGGCUUAUAAUUUACAAAGUGAUUGUCUUUCCUUUAUACAAGUGGUUUCACUAUAACUCAUGCCACGGAUAUUUAAUUUUUUUUUUUUUUUGCAUUCUUUUUUGAAGGAAACUGCCCUUAAGGACCAAUAUCUAAUGAGCUCCUUUAAAAAAUGUCACUCUUACUCCCCUAUAGCAACUGUUUGUACUUUGGGAUCACGGAUAGGAAAGGGAAAAUAUUGACAUGGGAAUUCAUGAUACUUAGAUGAUCAAAGACACCUCCAGCUGCAGGACAAGUCAAAGGAACAAUAUAAUUUUCAUUACUUGCCACUACAAAGGCUUUUAGAAAUAAUGAAGUAGAGUUGUCUUUUUUAAAAGCAAAAAAAGAAAAAA
Taeniopygia guttata (zebra finch) is the source of this 4990-nucleotide long non-coding RNA. Lineage: Eukaryota; Metazoa; Chordata; Aves; Passeriformes; Estrildidae. The record is from Ensembl.